This is a non-coding RNA of Pelobates cultripes (western spadefoot toad), 151 nucleotides long. Lineage: Eukaryota; Metazoa; Chordata; Amphibia; Anura; Pelobatidae. The record is from the annotation of a GenBank genome assembly.
AUGAUUUCAUCUUUGCAUCAGCUCCCCUCCUCUCCCUCCUCAAUUCCCCUCCCCACCUUUUUUUUUUUUUCAAAAUAGCAAAAAGGGGGAAAAAAAGGUGGGGAGGGGAAUUGAGGAGGGAGAGGAGGGGAGCUGAUGCAAAGAUGAGAAA